UACGGAGGAUGCGAGCGUUAUCCGGAUUUAUUGGGUUUAAAGGGUGCGCAGGCGGCGUGUCAAGUCAGCGGUAAAAUGUCGGGGCUCAACCCCGGCCGGCCGUUGAAACUGGCGUGCUCGAGUUGGAGAGAAGUAUGCGGAAUUCCUAGUGUAGCGGUGAAAUGCGUAGAGAUUAGGAAGAACACCAGUGGCGAAGGCGAUUCUCUGGACUGUAACUGACGCUGAGGCUCGAAAGCGUGGGGAGCAAACAGG
Molecule: ribosomal RNA, 252 nt
Filed under: uncultured bacterium
Lineage: Bacteria
Description: partial 16S ribosomal RNA
Rfam family: Bacterial small subunit ribosomal RNA
Source: RNAcentral